RNAcentral lists this long non-coding RNA (983 nucleotides) under Brassica napus (rape). Its description in RNAcentral is "long non-coding RNA (BNAP_LNC003980)". The record is from RNAcentral. Lineage: Eukaryota; Viridiplantae; Streptophyta; Magnoliopsida; Brassicales; Brassicaceae.
AUGACCAAAUUUGAAAAGGAAAUUAAGUGCAUAGCAUUGAUUUUGACAUAAUAAAACCCAUAACAAUUAUGUCAACUUCUAUCCGGUAAUACCUUUUUUUGUUCAAGUUACCAGUAAUAGAGAGAGAAACUGAUGACAUCAACAAUUUGACACCCCCAUAAUUAAUUAUCACACGUAAUUCAAUCAACACCACACUUUUUUUUAACACAUAAAUAUACAUCUAAUUUUUCUAUACCAUAUUACUAAAAAUAAUAGGAUUCAAAAUCCACUCACACCUAGUAAAUACUAAACUUUAAUCCAAACCUCAACUCCAAAAUAAUAAACCCUAAACUUUAAACAUCACCCUUCCAUCUAAAUACUAAACUCUAAACCCUAAUUACUGAACCCUAAACCCAAAUAUAAACCUUAAACCCAAUUAUCAAAAUCUGAAAAUAGUAUAUAAUAUUAUGUAAUAUUAAACUAAAUCCAAACAAAACUCCUCAAUGCUAAAUUCAGACCUAACUUUUGAAUACUAAACCCAAAAAUGCUAUCACUAAACCCAAACCUAAACUCCCACCUUCCAAAUACUAAACCCUAAAUCCUAAUCACUAAACCCUAAACCCAAGUAUAGACUAUAAACCCAAAUAGAAUGGAACAAAAUACAUAGUAUAGUAUAAAUUGGUAUAAAAAAAAAACACUCUUUUUUAAUCGUCAAAUGGAACAUACAUAAUACGGUCACUAAACCCAAACAUCAACCCCCACCUUCCAAAUACUAAACCCUAAAUCUUAAUCAUUAAACCUAAACCCAAGUAUAAACUCUAAACCCAAAUAGUAUAGAACAAAAUAAAUAGUAUAGUACAUAUAGUUGUAAACAAGAAAUUGAUAAAUAAUGAAUUUAUCAAACAAUCGAUGGUACAAUAAUACAACAACCGUAGCAUACUAUUUAGUUUGGUACUUGCGAAUUGUACAAAAAUAUAAGAAUCGUACUAUACUAUAAUUUUCUU